Molecule: long non-coding RNA, 1397 nt
Organism: Cygnus atratus (black swan)
Lineage: Eukaryota; Metazoa; Chordata; Aves; Anseriformes; Anatidae
Exons: 4
Source: RefSeq, a predicted model, not a curated record
AGGGCCCAGGCGGGCGGCGGCCGGGGGAAGGCUCCGGGCCGCGGGGCUCCGUCUCCGGCCCUCCCCGAGCCCCCAGGCUCGCUGCGAGGAGCCGGGGCCGGCAGCAGCCGAGGGCCGGGCGGAGGCCUCGUCCCACCGGGGCUCGGCGGCACCGAGGGCCCGGCAGCGGCGGCGGCAGCACCGCGGCCUGCGAGGUUGACCUGGCCUCCCUCCGCCCGGCCCGCGACGGCCGGGGACGGGGAAUCGCAGCGCAUUUGCGUUAGUGUUUCCCGUGUCGUUUUCACGACUUUUUAAUUAACCGUGCUCAGAAAGUACGCUCCUCCUCUCACACGCCUUCCUGUUGUAAAUGUAUGCUGAAAAUAACCAAAUCAGCAGCAAACGCGGCGUGCCAGGGCCUGGCGCGAAUAUUUGCCUCUUCCUUCAUCGGCUCUUUUGGGCUUCAAUAAGCAAAGCCCUGGUCUGUUACAACAGAAGAUAUCCUGCGUUGCAGUAAUUAUCGGUUUGUUCGAGGAUUCAGCACAGAAGAUUAUGUGACAUGGUUGAAGGAGUACUGUGAAGCCUUUUCCAGUGAUCUGACUAAAAAUCCUGGAACCCAUUCCAGUUUCACGUACAGCGUGUGCUUUUGGAGUAAAUGAACACACUACAGGUAGCCUACAAACUCAUGCAGGGGAUCUGUUGAAAUACCUGAAGGAGAAAAGACAGCUGCUUUGUGUGUUGUGGGAAUAACAAUGACAGACCUUUAUCCAGAUUGAGUCUUGGAAUUUCGUUUUUGGACAAGCUGCUUUGACAGAAGUUGUUGCAAAUCAUCUUUGUUCACUGCUGCAACGGAGCCAGAGUCAGCUUGGGAGACAGUUUGGCUUCCUGGGAGUUUGGUAUUUGUGUCGUCUGCUCUACUUGCACGUGUGAUCACCUACCUCUGUUCUAGGACUUUUGCAACUAGAAUGAAAACAAAUGGCAAUUAAUGUGUAUCAGUGGCGUGAUGAGUCCUUCAGCAAGUCGUCUGCAAAUCUAAUACACACAUUCGUAUGUGGAAUUUAGCAGCGUGGCCGUAUUACUCCUUGCAGGGUUUGGUGGGUCUAGGAGUUACAGACUAAGCGAGGAAGGACACAGCCUCACCUGGUGUAGGGAGAAAUAAGGUUUGAGGAAGGGAAAAUUGCCCCUUAGUGCGCCUGGCCUGGUAUUUAUUAGUUUGAUUCCUGAUACGUGAGCCGCCUAGCCUGGCACGUAGCAAGUAUUCUGCAAUUCAGCGAGAUGAUAAAAUAAUUACUUGAUUGCCUGCUUCUUGAAGCCGCGAGGAUAAUGUCCCUAAGUAGCACCAAUUCAGCCACCGCUCAGAAGGAGAAAAGGCUGCUCAGAACCAGGCCUGCGCUGGUGAGCGUUUACAAGAGUCCCCUCGA